This is a non-coding RNA of Aegilops tauschii subsp. strangulata, 4465 nucleotides long. Lineage: Eukaryota; Viridiplantae; Streptophyta; Magnoliopsida; Poales; Poaceae. The record is from RefSeq and is a predicted model, not a curated record.
UCCCUAUUCUGGAUUUUCAUUAAUAUGCAAUUUUUUUAAACUUGAUUCAAUGCAUAGCCUUGCAUUUUAAUUCCUUGCCUAUUAUGGAUUUUAGUUUGCUUCAUCCAAGUAGUUUGCUUUACUCAAAUCUGAAUUAAGUUUUGCUUGAUUCAAUAUGAAUCCUUACAUUUCAAUUCUCACGUGCAACAAUUAAACAAAAGUGUCUUCCAUUUUUCCCUGCAUUCAACUAUUCCCGUUCCCAUGGGUUUCUUAGGGUUGUCGACAUGGAUAGAGCAGAAAGUUCUUCGCGUUAUUCAGGUGGGCAUGGGGUUGGUCAUACACGAGGAGUUCCAUGUGGACGUGGUCGUGGACGUGGACGGACACGCCGUCCAUCAGUACCUGAUUCCACUCCUCAAUCAAACUCACAUGUUGCCACCGAGAACCGUCGUAGGCGUUUGGAUGUAAUCACUAGAAACAGGAGCCGAGGAAAUGAAGCAUCGACCACAUCGAUGUCAAACACACAUAAUCAGAUAUUUGCCCAUAAAUGUAAUCUUUUGCCUAAAUUAAUCCCUGUUCAUGUGUCCAAGUUCAGUGAUCAUUUACGUUUACAAAAAACCCUCUCUUUGUGCCUCAUCUUUCAGGAACUAUAUUUGAACCCUUAACUCUUGGAGGCCCCUAGUGUUCUUGCCAACAUUGUGGUGCUCUCUUUUGGUAUGAUGAGCGUGUACACAGAGAAAGGCAUACUCAAAAUCCAACAUAUAAUUUGUGCUGCAAAGGAGGAAAAGUUUCCCUCCAGCCAUAUGAUCCUCCUCCUCAACCUCUAUUGGAUUUACUCACUUCACAGAAUAGUUCACUCUCAAGCCACUUCUUUCAUCAUAUUCGUUAGUACAAUACCAUGUUUGCCAUGACUUCAAUGGGAGCUAAAAUUGAUGAGUCCAUAAAUGACGGCCGAGGCCCAUACGUUUUCAAGAUCAGUGGCCAAGUCUGCCACCGUGUUGGUUCAUUGAGACCAUCUAGAGGACAGAGACCAGAAUAUGCACAAUUAUACAUAUUUGAUACAGAGUGUGAGGUUUCAAAUAGAAUAAAUGUUGCCUCAUCUUCGCGCACCGGUUCAUCUACACGCACUUUGUUCCAAGCUAAUGAAGGCAUUGUUCAGUCCCUCAUAACAAUGUUGAACACACAUAAUCCCAUUGUGAAACUAUUUAGAACAGCAAGUCAAAGAUUACAUGGCAAUGAUUCUGACCAUUUAUACCUCAGAAUAUAUGGCAAACCUGAUGCCCGUGGAGAUAUCUAUAGUGCUCCAGUUGCAUCCGAAGUUGUUGGAUUAGUGGUUGGAGAUUUAGGGUCUUCUAAUGUUGGACGAGUCAUUAUAAUAGAAGAUCAUUCAUCACGGUUACAACAGAUCAAUGAAAAACACUACAAGUUUAUGUCCAUGCAAUAUCCUCUUUUAUUUCCAUAUGGUGAGGAUGGUUAUCCAUGAUGACCUUAUGUGCCUUCCAGUGUCAAAUGCAUCAAAUCAACGCCAAAAAGUCACAAUGCUAGAAUACUAUGCAUAUAGGUUACAUGAUAGGCCAAAUGACUUCAACACUCCAUUACGAUGCAAAAGGUUAACACAGGCUUACUUUGUGGAUUGCUAUUGUUCUAUUGAAACCUUUCGUAUUGCAUUCUACCGCAAGCCUAGCUUUCAACGGAAAUACAGAUCAUCAUCAUUCAGUUGUUUAGCAGAUUCUGUGUCAAAGGGUAUUACAUCAGGUUCUUCUAUUGGCCAAAGGAUUAUAUUACCUUCCUCAUUUAUUGGAGGCCCUCGCUACUUAUACCAAAACUACCAAGACUCCAUUGCUAUUUGUAGAAAAUAUGGUUGCCCAGAUCUGUUUGUCACGUUCACAUCAAAUGCUGCUUGGCCUGAAAUUACAGAGGAUCUAUCAUCCAUUCCUGGUCAAGAACCAUCUGACCGUCCAGAUAUUGUCAACCGGGUAUUCAAAAUGAAGCUUAAUAUUCUAAUGGAUGAUAUUAAAAAGAAACAUUUUUUGGACCCAUAAACGCAGGUAAUAAGCGUUCUCUUAAACUUAUAUUCACUUCUCUCAACAUAGUUCUCUGCCGGUUAUUAAACAUAUUUUACAUUCCUGUAGUUAUCUACACAGUUGAAUUCCAGAAAUGUGGACUCCCACAUGUUCAUAUAAUUAUAUGGUUAGCCAAAGAAGCACCUUUAUGCCGACGUAUUUAAUCAAAUUAAUACACAUAGAAGCUAAAACAGCUAGGUAUUUUAUCCACUCAAAUUUAUGUUAUGCCUGAAAUUUCACAAGUAUGUAAUACAUUUUUUCUGCAUGCCAUCAUUUUUUUCCUAACAUUCUUAUUCAUUGAGAUCCAUCUCCCCUAUGGAGUCAACUACGAAACUUAAAGAUAUUACAGUGGGAUAGAAAAAUUGUAAGGUCUUUGCACGGGUAAUAAGGCUUUGGGAUGCUAUAAAUACGAAUCCUAGAUAUGGAAAUGCUUUGAUCAACAUUGAUGGCAUUCUCUUGGAUGAAGAUGGAUCCAUGGCACAAAUCAGUGUGCCUAAAAAAUUUGAAAAACAAUUUCGUGGGUUGCUAUCUCAAGGAUCUGUCUAUAUUAUUUCAAAUGUUGCAGUUAUCGAUAUCAAAAGCAAAUCAUAUGUCUAUCGCCAUCAGAAUUAUAUGCUGCAAUUCAAACAAGACACAAAGGUUCAUCCGCUACAUUCAAGAGGUGCAGAUAUACCUACACUUUCGUUCGACUUUUGCCCAUUUGAUCAGCUGCCACAAAAAGCAAUUGAUUCCAAGCCACUCCUAGAUGUGAUAGGAGUAAUAUGUGAUGUUGGUCCAUAUGACUAUGCUAGCCAAACAUCUCAGCACAAAUUUCGGAAGAUCAAAAUUCGCAACCUAGAAGAACAAACACAAGAAUUAGUUCUAUGGGGCCAGCAUGGAGAAUCAUUUGAUGAAGAAACAGUACUUAAAAAAUAUCAAGAAGGAAUUGUCAUAGCCAUUUUUGCUGGUGUAACUGCAACUCUACAAAGGUCUACAUGUAUGAUACAAGGAUCCUCAAGUUCUGCGACACAAAUAUAUCUUGAUCUUGAUAUACCUGAAGUUCAAAAGUACCGCACCAGCUCUAAAUGGAAAUGCCCAACUCUACAAAAGCAUCUCCCUCAGGUCAAACAAGUAUCUCCACUUGAAGCAGCAGGCAAACUAUACACCAUUGAAGAAAUAUCUAACCUACCAACGUCAUCUUUUCAGGGAGGAGCAACCUUCAGCACUAUCGCAAAAGUAGCAUCAAUUAUACCGUCAGUCAAAUGGUACUACAAAGCAUGCAAGCGUUGUGGAAAAGGAUAUAACAACAUGACAGAUACCCCAACAUGUGGCUGCCAAUUUCCAGUUCCAUGCCCAAUGUACAAACUUCCCCUUACACUAACAGAUAACUCGGGAAGUUUGGAUGCAAUUGCUUUCGCUAGAGUAGCUGAAGACUUAGUUGAGCGUCAUGCUGAUCAUGUUUCAAUGAGUAUGAAGAUAGAAGCUACAGAUCAUGUGCUUACCCUGGAUAAAUCCAUUGGUAAAGAAAAGUUAUUCUACAUAGGAAUGAACACUGAUUCGUCUGCCAAGUACCCUAUAAAUUAUGUCCUGAAAAAAAGUUUCUCUAUCAACAAUACUGAAUCAACACCUGUUCCACAUGCGCCAAAGUCAGGCGAGGAUACAACCACCAAUGACAAUACUCCUGCAACUCAUAAGCCAAUGUCUAUCAGCAUAAAGGAAAGAGAAAAUAGGAUCAACACAAAAAGAAGAAUUGAUUUUACUGAGAGUGAUGCCGACAAAUCUAACAGGUAUGAGAACACUCACAAAACCUUAGUGCACCAUGGUUCUCCAAAGGCACAUACAAACUUAUUUCAAGUACAUGGAGGUUCUUGGGUUACAUUUAUAUUCUCUUUCCCAGUUCAUUUUCUAUUUUGAUUCAUGCUUUAUUACCUUCAAUAUCUGAUAUAAUAAAUGGAACCAAUUUUCUAAAUGCAGCUCAAAGAAACCGAAAGAAAGUAUUGCGAAAAAGAACAAGCAUGAGAAUGUAGAUACACUUCCAGAAAAACUGCAUCAACAGGAACAACCAGAGUAAAGGAACCUUUGGACGAUUUAAGUACUUUACAUUGACUAUAUAAACUUUCAUUUUCUGAUUAAAAAAACCAGUAAUAUAUUGUGUUAUUUUUUUGACAACGCUUCAUUUUCCAAUACAGGCAGGACAACUUGCACUUUGCUACAAAUGAGAAAUGAGGAAUAACGUACAUCGCUUACAACCAGAAAUAACAGUCCUUAUGUUCAUACCACUUUGCUCAGCUUCUAUAGUAACCAAGGAACAUUACAAAUUUUGUUCAACUACCAACUUAUCAGUGGUUCCAGUUUAUGUUCUUUGUUCGACUUAUGAUCUCAAUACAAACCUACAGUGUGUGUUCAAAUAUAUUCAUGAAUGGAUCCAAUUUAUGUUCUUUGGUGCA